RNAcentral lists this ribosomal RNA (301 nucleotides) under uncultured bacterium. Its description in RNAcentral is "partial 16S ribosomal RNA". It matches the Rfam family "Bacterial small subunit ribosomal RNA", at positions 509 to 808 of the family's 1533-position model. The record is from RNAcentral.
CAGUCGCCCGGGAAUACAGAGGGUGCAAGCGUUAAUCGGAAUUACUGGGCGUAAAGCGCGCGUAGGUGGUUUGUUAAGUUGGAUGUGAAAUCCCCGGGCUCAACCUGGGAACUGCAUCCAAAACUGGCAAGCUAGAGUAUGGUAGAGGGUGGUGGAAUUUCCUGUGUAGCGGUGAAAUGCGUAGAUAUAGGAAGGAACACCAGUGGCGAAGGCGACCACCUGGACUGAUACUGACACUGAGGUGCGAAAGCGUGGGGAGCAAACAGGAUUAGAUACCCCCGUAGUCCCUGUCUCUUAUACA